AGAACUCAGAUGCUCUCGGGUUUGGCCUUGUACCGGUACAGCAAUCCGUGUACCGGUACAAGGGAGUUGGUGGAGGGCUAAAUCAGUAAAAUUCCACCUCGUUCAUGUCACCCUCUUUCCCUCUCUCUAUUUAUCUGUGGAUUGGGCUGAGAGAGAGAGAGUUUUCACCAUCUCCUCUCCCUCUCUCUCUCUCUAGGCCGAUCGUGAGCACGGUUGAGGACUUCGUCGCCGACGUCGCGCCGCGAGCCGUUCGAGCGCACGUGUUGCCGGGGCGCUGCGAGGAGGCCGGGCGAGGGUGCGUCUUCGCCGUUCCUGUCGCCGCACCGCUGUUCAUCGCUGUUGAGAUUUCCUGCGUCGACUGUUAGUAUUUCGGCUCGUUCUCCGCGUAGGAGCGUCGGAUCGCGACGAAACUUGGUUCAUUGGAUUCUAGACUGCGAGAGGAUUCCACAGAGCCCUCAUUUGCAAUUUUUGGACAAGCUUGGCGUUGGCUUGGCGACCGGACUUGGAGAUCCCCGAUUGAUCCAGCAGAGUUCCUUCUAGGCCGAGGCUUCGUUUGCUGCCAGGAGAUAGCACUUUAGAGCCGCAGGUACAGGCUGCUGCUUCCUCUGCUGAGCAGGAUCGUGGCAAGGGCGUCGCGAGCUAGAGCCCUACCAGACUGAUCGAGUUAGAGGCGUCCUCCCCUUACAGCAGGUAGUGAUUUUUUUCUUUUGGAGCUUUUGUACAUAGCAGUUGAACUCGCCAGUGCGAGUGGUUUUGUACUUGGGAUUUGUGACUAUGUAUAAAAAGCUCGUUUACUUUAGUUA
Molecule: long non-coding RNA, 803 nt
Organism: Ananas comosus (pineapple)
Lineage: Eukaryota; Viridiplantae; Streptophyta; Magnoliopsida; Poales; Bromeliaceae
Exons: 4
Source: RefSeq, a predicted model, not a curated record